AUGUCAGGCGUUCACUUUGUUUUAUUUACAAGUCCUCCUAUACUUAUAUGUUGCCAAUUUGCCUGUCAUAAUAAAUGUAACUAUAUAAUUUGAUUCAAUGACAAUUUAGCUAUAUAAUAAAACUAUAUAAUUUAUCAAACUUACCCCUAUCCCGGUUGCCCAACCAGUCCCAGCAGGAUUUUCAUCUGUAAUACCUAUUCUACGACAAAGUAUACCAGCUCCUGAAACUGCCCAAACUUGACCCUGUUCUCUUGCAAUGGCAACUUGUCGAAAGCCUUGUUUCGCAUUUGCAACAGCCAUCUAUGUGUAUGGGAUCAUUCGGCAUCACAGGAAGCGUUUGCCAGUGCGUUCCUUCUGGGAAAACGUUCACUUGCACACCAUGGCGUACAGAUAAUUUACCCGCCAUAUCUAAAGCCCACACCACGUCUUUUCCAACAGAAAUCUGUUUCAAAUGAGCACCUGAUGGUGGUUCAACAUUCUGCCAUUGUAUUCCUGAACAAUCAAAUAAUAAUUAGAAAAGAUUUCAAUAAUAACAAAGAUAUAUUCAUACUAUUAUAUACCUGUUGGUUUUGCAGGAGUAAUACCUAAUCUCCAGUAAGAAGAACCAUUCUUUCCAACAGCCCAUACUUGCCCGCAUGGACCACAUGAAAUACCUACUAAAGCUUGAUCACUUGGUAUAUGUUCCCAUGAAACUCCC
RNAcentral lists this unclassified non-coding RNA (697 nucleotides) under Bombus terrestris (buff-tailed bumblebee). RNAcentral's name for it is "misc RNA ENSBTSG00005025059.1". The record is from RNAcentral. Lineage: Eukaryota; Metazoa; Arthropoda; Insecta; Hymenoptera; Apidae.